GCAACACUGACUCCUCCUAGACCCCUGUUAGUUCGUCCCCCUCCCUGCUAAUCUAACCUGACGUCAUUCUUUCCAUGACGUAAGAUUUUUUUUUCUCCUCUUCUUCGCCUUUAAUGCCUGUGGUCUUUGUGAUGAGGAGAGUUGUGUGAAAUCCCAUCAAGUGCAUUUGCAUGGAGAUGAACCCCACAAUUGUUGGUAUAGUGAAGCAAUGGGAAAGUUUAAAGGUCAGACGGGUGGAGCGGCCACAGCUGAGAGCGGUUUACAUCAGCCAGCUUUAAAAGCCCAGCAGACGCACCACCACGUCGCCCGAUCAACUCGUCUGGUUCCACCGACCUGUUCUCUGCUUGCCCCUUGUCGGAUUCCACGCCUGCCUCCUUCCGAGCUCCCUCGCCUCACGCCGGCUCAGCCACCCUGAACAGAGCACGCUACUACAACACUUCGUCCUUGG
This is a long non-coding RNA of Corythoichthys intestinalis (scribbled pipefish), 448 nucleotides long. RefSeq lists it as uncharacterized. The transcript has 3 exons. The record is from RefSeq and is a predicted model, not a curated record. Lineage: Eukaryota; Metazoa; Chordata; Actinopteri; Syngnathiformes; Syngnathidae.